Long non-coding RNA from Stegodyphus dumicola, 1225 nucleotides. The record is from RefSeq and is a predicted model, not a curated record. Lineage: Eukaryota; Metazoa; Arthropoda; Arachnida; Araneae; Eresidae.
CCAAAAACUCAGUCUUCAUACAGGGAGGCUAUAAAACUGUGUCUUACUGCUGUUCAAAAUCUCCAUUCAUCAUGUCCUGGAUAUCUUGGAUUUUCAACAACUGUAAUGCUUGCAAAUCUCAAAUUGCUUGAAGGAGAUUUUACUGCUGCCAAAGCACUUUUAUACGAAUAUGUGGAUAAAGAAGGUAAGGAUCCCGAAGGAAGAUUGCUAAUGGCCCAAAUUCAUCUGCAGGAAGGAGACUUGUAUGCUGCUAGUCAUUGUCUUGAAGUUGCCUUAAGUUUGAAUUUCGAGGAGGCGUUACAUGAUAGUUCAAAAUUAUCAGAUUUUUAUAACUGCAAGAAGUUUCCAAAGAUGCUGUUAAUGUCCUAAAAGGGUAAAGGCAAAGCAAGUAUUUUAGCAUCAGGUUGUUAUUUGAAAAAAAAAAAAAAAAAAAAAAAAAAAAAAAAAAAAUCCAAAUUCUGCACUUCUAAUAUUUGCUAAAUGUAAGUAUUGAGGAAUUUUGAUAUGCUUUGCACUAACUUUCAUUUUAAGAGGGCAGAUUAUAUUAAAAUGAGCCAUUUUACAGCAGUGAAUGUAUUUGGCCUCAUGUGGCUAAAAUUCAUCUUCUCAGGCUGCUUUCGACUAUUGUACCCACAGAUGAUGCAUGGUCAUUUAGCUAAUUUCUGUAGAAUUGGAAUUGCAUUGAUUUGAAUGUCACCUACAUACUAGCAAAUAUUUCGAGAGAAUAAGAUGGUUUGUAAUAUGUGUGAUGCCUUUAUAUGAUCUAAAUCUAAAGCAUGACACUAAUCAUAUAUAUGCAUGUAUAUACAGUGAACAUAGAUUUUUUUUUUUUUUAACGUGUAAGGUGAUGGAAAAAUUGCUUCAAGGUGAAAUUCAAAAGCUACACUUCCAGCCAGACUAUAGCGAUCAUGAAAUCAAGAACAAACAUCUUUACAAUAACAAUAGUUUAUUAUGAACAACAAUAGUUUAUUAUGAAGGGAUGAUACUUGUUUUCAUAAGGAAAAGACAGACUAAUUCUCCAUAUAGUUUGUUCUUUUUACAUUUUUAUGUACAUUAUUUAUUACAUUUUUCAUUAAGAAGCAACGCACAGAUAGACUAUCCUAUUUUAUAUUUGCAUCAAUAUAAUAUUUACAUAUUCCUAUAUGUAUUUAUACUGCAUUUUUACAGAAACUAAAAGCAAAAGACCUCUAUGUGAAUAAAAUUACUAGGAAUUACUUAUUUUUGA